GCACGGGUGAGUAAUACGUAGAUAAUCUACCUUUGAAUUUGGGAUAACACUGCGAAAGUGAUGCUAAUACCGAAUAAUAUUGAUAAGACCUUGGUUUUGUUAAUCAAAGAUGGCCAAUUCUUGAAAGCUAUUGUUUGAAGAUGAGUCUACGCACCAUUAGCUUGUUGGUGGGGUAAAAGCCUACCAAGGCGACGAUGGUUAGCUGGUCUGAGAGGAUGAUCAGCCACACUGGAACUGACACACGGUCCAGACUCC
RNAcentral lists this ribosomal RNA (255 nucleotides) under uncultured bacterium. RNAcentral describes it as "partial 16S ribosomal RNA". It matches the Rfam family "Bacterial small subunit ribosomal RNA", at positions 100 to 339 of the family's 1533-position model. The record is from RNAcentral.